CCUACGGGAGGCAGCAGUGAGGAAUAUUGGUCAAUGGACGAGAGUCUGAACCAGCCAAGUAGCGUGAAGGAUGACUGCUCUAUGGGUUGUAAACUUCUUUUAUAUGGGAAUAAAAUGUUCCACGUGUGGGAUUUUGUAUGUACCAUAUGAAUAAGGAUCGGCUAACUCCGUGCCAGCAGCCGCGGUAAUACGGAGGAUCCGAGCGUUAUCCGGAUUUCUUGGGUUUAAAGGGAGCGUAGGUGGAUUGUUAAGUCAGUUGUGAAAGUUUGCGGCUCAACCGUAAAAUUGCAGUUGAAACUGGCAGUCUUGAGUACAGUAGAGGUGGGCGGAAUUCGUGGUGUAGCGGUGAAAUGCUUAGAUAUCACGAAGAACUCCGAUUGCGAAGGCAGCUCACUGGACUGCAACUGACACUGAGGCUCGAAAGUGUGGGUAUCAAACAGGAUUAGAUACCCCAGUAGUC
This 460-nucleotide ribosomal RNA is filed under the name uncultured bacterium. Its description in RNAcentral is "partial 16S ribosomal RNA". It matches the Rfam family "Bacterial small subunit ribosomal RNA", at positions 338 to 795 of the family's 1533-position model. The record is from RNAcentral.